CAGCCGCCGCGGGAAUACGAGGGGGGCAAGCGUUGUUCGGAAUUAUUGGGCGUAAAGGGCGCGUAGGCGGUUUGGCAAGUUUGGUGUGAAAUCUUCGGGCUCAACUCGAAGUCUGCACCGAAAACUGCCGGGCUUGAGUAUGGGAGAGGUGAGUGGAAUUUCCGGUGUAGCGGUGAAAUGCGUAGAUAUCGGAAGGAACACCUGUGGCGAAAGCGGCUCACUGGACCAUUACUGACGCUGAGGCGCGAAAGCUAGGGGAGCAAACAGGAUUAGAUACCCCUGUAGUCCCUGUCUCUUAUAC
RNAcentral lists this ribosomal RNA (301 nucleotides) under uncultured bacterium. RNAcentral describes it as "partial 16S ribosomal RNA". It matches the Rfam family "Bacterial small subunit ribosomal RNA", at positions 509 to 807 of the family's 1533-position model. The record is from RNAcentral.